RNAcentral lists this unclassified non-coding RNA (148 nucleotides) under uncultured Ascomycota. RNAcentral's name for it is "sequence contains ITS2". Lineage: Eukaryota; Fungi; Ascomycota. The record is from RNAcentral.
AUACCCCUCAAGCAUUGCUUGGUGUUGGGCUAUGUCCUUUUAAGGGGACCAGCCCGUAAUUUGUAGGCGGCCAUCGGUGGCCCCCCAGCGUAGCAGGCUAACGCACUCGCUUGGGGGUGGCCCAUAUGGCCCGCCCAAAUUUUAUAAG